CUGAGGAGGACGGGAAGGAUACCUUGAAUGUGAGGCCCAGGUCAAGAGGCUACACAAUAAAAAGAUCUGAAAAAUUUUCACGACCUGCAACAGCUCCUGGUUCCUGGUCAUCUUUUCUGGCUUCUCCUCACCUGGCUGAAGAAACGCAGCCUACAGAACCUGGACCACACAGAACCUGCCUUUGCCAACAUGCAGAUUCCCGUCAGGGAAAAGCUUCUGGGAUGUGGAAGCACCUCCAUGAUGUGGCCCCAAGCACCCUGUAACUGCUCUACUCUCCCACUCUUCUCGUACAACCCUGAGUAAUUCCACAGACAGCUACACUUUACUUCAACAUGUUACACAAAAUAUGUUUGUUAUUUUUGGCAACCAAACAAUUUCUUCUUCCACUUGUAUUUUUAUGUACAUAGUAUAAAGUCAUCAUCUCCAAAUGAUUUCUACCCAAUUCUGAUAAUGCCCCAACUGCCUAUAAGUCAACUGUAUGUGUAUUGGGCCAGAUAAUGGUAACUAUCUAGUAAUUAAAUACUCUUCUUAGGUGUUUAAGGCUUGUGUAUCUUGGUUUGACUAUUGUGAUGAACAACAGCACUAAAUCCUUCUUGGGAUGGGGAUUAAUUU
Molecule: long non-coding RNA, 612 nt
Filed under: Chinchilla lanigera (long-tailed chinchilla)
Lineage: Eukaryota; Metazoa; Chordata; Mammalia; Rodentia; Chinchillidae
Description: lncRNA (ENSCLAG00000028790.1)
Source: RNAcentral